GAAAAACCGAAAAUUCGGUAUUAUCCCACCGCCUCCCACGCACUCUGUUUCUUUCCAGAAACAGAGAGAGCGGUGGGGCGUGAGGAGAAGAAGGAGAGUGGUUGAAGAAAAGAAGAAGAAGAGGGAAAAGAAGAGAGGAGGAAGAAGAGAGGAAGAAGAGGGAGAAGAGAAGAAGAUGAAGAAGAAGAAGAAGAGGAGGUGGCUGCAGCGAGGGCUGCAGCGAGAAGCUGUGGGGCGUGGGGAGAAGAAGAGAGGAAGAAGAGGGAGAAGAGAAGAAGAAGAAGAAGAAGCAGAAGAAGAAGAAGAAGAAGAGAGGAUGAUAGCUGCGGCAAGGCUGCAGCGAGGAGGUGUGUGGGGUUGGGGAGGAAAAGGGAAGAGGAGAAGAAAAGAAGGAGAAGAAGAGGGAAAAGAGAGGGAAGAGGGAGAGGAGCGAGAGGUGGCAGCAGCUAGGGCUGCAGCACCUCUGUUUCCUGCAGGUGGAAACAGAGGAGAGGUGGGGCGUUCGAAGAGGAGAAGAAGAAGAAGAAGGAAGAGAAGAGGAAGAGGAAGCAGGAGAAGAGGUUGUGAUACCUCUGUUUCCUGCAGAGGAAACAGAGGAGAGGGUGUGUGUGACGUCGGGGAGAAGAAGGGGAGGAAGAAGAAGAAGAGAAGAAGAAGAAAGGAAGGAGAGGAAGAAGAGAAGGGAAAGGAGGAGCUGCGGCUGCGGCGGUGGCAGCUGCAGGUGGAAGAGAAGGAGAGGAAGAGAUGGUGAGGAAGAAGAGAAGAAGUAGAAGCGGGUGAAGAGGCGGCACCUCUGUUUCCUGCAGGAGGAAACAGAGGAAAGGAGGUGCUGUUCGUCGGGGAGAAGAAGGGGGCUGCAGCUGCAGCGAUGGCAGCUGCAGCUGGAAGAGAAGAAGAAGAGGAAGAUGAGCAGGGGAGGAGGGAGAGGUUGCGGCCGUGGCUGCGGCCGCGACUGCAGCAGUUGCAGCGGGGAGAGAAGAAGAAGAAAGGAAGGAGAAGGAAGAGGAGAAGGGAAAGAAGUAGCUGCGGCUGCGGUUGUGGCAGCUGCAGCUGUGGCAGGGAAAGAGGAAGAGAAAAAGGAAAGGAAGAAGAAGAGAAAUGGAAGGACAGGAAGAAGAGAGGAAGAGGAGAAGGGGCUGCGGCUGCGGCGAUGGCAGCUGCAGCUGUGGCUGGGAAAGAAGAGAAGGAAAGGAAGAAGAAGAGAAAGGGAAGGAGAGGAAGAAGAGAGGAAGAGGAGAAGGGGUGGCAGCUGCGGCAGUGGCAGCUGCAGCUGGAAGAGGAGGAGGAAAUAGAGCAGGGGAGGAAGAAGAGGCUGCGAGUGUGGUGGCUGCGGCCGUGGCUGCGACUCCGGCUGCGGCUGCGACGUUGGCUGCGGUAGCUGCGGCAGCGGUGGUGGCUGCAGUAGCUGCUUUUGGGAAAGAGAAAGAGUAGGAACGAGAGAAGGGAAGAAGGAAAUAGUGCAGUGGAAGGGGGCUGCGGUUGUCACCGCAGUUGCGAUUGUGGCAGCGGCAGCGGCGGCGGCUGUGGCAGCUGCGUUUGGGAAAGAAAAAGAAGGAAUGAGAGUAAGAGAGAGCAGGUGACUGUGCCUCGAUGUUCGACACGUGAUGUAGUUACGAAGAAAGGAAGAAAACGGGAGCACAAAACGAAACAGAGAGAGGACACGGAGGAAAAGUAUAAAGAUUGGACUGGCACCUUCCUUGGAUAUUCAGAUCAAAAUAUUUGAAAGGUCAGCUUGUCACUCUUCGAGAUGUUUGAUUUGGGCUGAGGCAGUGGAUAGCUAUUCAGAAUUAUGGGCAAGUCCUGUUGGUUGUUAUGCUAUUGUUGUAUAAGCAUAUUUUGUAUGUAAUGAAUUGUUCUGAUGAUCGAAAUGGAUAUACUGUGUAAAAGUGUUAGAAGAUCUCUCUUAUUUGGAAUUUCGGAAUGUUAAGUCUAAUUUAUGACGAUAUAAACUUGUGGUGAAUAGUUGGAGUUCUGAUUGUAUAAUUUAUUUAGCUUGUGGAUUUAUAAAUGUUGUUCAUGUUUGUCAAGUUGGCUUGGGUUGCCAUAAAUGUGAAUUAUCGAGUGAUGUGAUAUAUGAUUAUAAACUGCACAGGUUUUAUGGAUGUGAAUAUGAAUAGAAUGUUUUCAGUGUCCUCAAACGUUAGUUUGGAUCCUGGAUUGGUCUGUGACGAAAAUUUUAAAAAUCAUGGAUAUUUUGAGGGGCGUGACAGAGGUGGUAUCAGAGCAUUGUUUGAGGAUUACUGAAAUAUUUGAUAUGUUGACGUGCAAAAUAUAUUGAGGUCUAAUGAACUAUAGUGAUUGGUGGAAAUUUUCUUUGCUGCAUUUUAGGAAUCUGGGAUGAUGAGGACAUUUGGUCCUCUUAUAUCAUUUGUUUCUGAUUAAUUAAGGGGAAUGAAAGGAUUGAUUGGGGAUAUUGAAUCAGAGUGGCGCAGCAGAAGCAUGAUGAACCUAAUUUCAUUGGUGGUAGAAAAAUGGAUGAUGUAAAUGGAGAAGAUAAUUGAUAUACAAAAUUGUUCUGAUACUCGAAAGAUUUCUUUUGCCACGUUAUAUUGGAAGUAAAGACUUAUUAUUGACGGCAACAAUGAAAAGAAUUUUUGAAGAUCAAUGGCAAGAAUGACAAGAACAAGUUUACCAAUAAAAAUAUGAUUGGAAAUGAAUCAGUAAGUAACAACAAGAGAGUCAAGACAUUUGGAUUUGAAAUGGGAAGUCACCACAAAAGACUCAAUCAGGUGUGAAUUGCAAGUUAAAUUAUGAAACAAGUUUAUGUUUGUGCGUGACUAGAGCCUAUUUUGCUUAUGGAAAGUUUGAUCAUAAAAUAAAAGUUUGCCCUUUGAACAAGAAGAAAGAGUCACUGCCUCCUAAAUCAUCAGCCCAUGUCAGAGUGUAUGCUAUCACUGAAUAUGAUUCUAAGACUUCUGAAUUAGUGGUCGAAGGUAUUAUGUAUGUUUAUGAAAGAAUGCAAAUAUUUGUUUGAACAUGGGUUCUAUCUACGAUUUGAUUCGUAACAUAUUGCCUAUCACUUGGGUAUUCAACCUAGACCACUGUAUUAUGUGAUAUAUGUAAGUACAAUCAUUGGAGAUUCUUUGAUAACGAACUUGAAUCUGGUCCUCUUGUCUGAUUUUUGUUGGAGAACUUGAACUUUUGCUGAUUUAGUUCUCCUAGAGAUUUGGAGUUAUGAUAUUAUACUUGGUAUGCAUUGGCUAUCUUCUUAUCAUACCAGUAUGGAUUGGUAUAUAACAAAUGAUCACUUUUUGCAUAUUUGAUCAGCCGAUCUUUUAUUUUGAGAGUAUUGGACAUUAUUUAUCUCCUUGCCUAAUGUAUCCCAGGAUGACUUGCUUGGAUUACCUCCAAAUGUGAUUUUGCUUUUGAUUUGGUCCUUGGGACAAUCCCUAUAUCUAAGCCUCUCUGCAGAAUGAUAUCAUUUGAGUAAGUGGAAUUAGAAAAACAACUACAAGGAUUAUUAAAUGAGGAUUUUAUUUGGCUUAAUAUUUUAUCAUGGGGUGCUCUGGUGUUAGUUAAAAAGAUGGAUGGAACAUGGAGGCUUUGUAUUGAUUAUGGAUAGUUGAAUCAGGUGAUCAUCAAAAACGAGUAUUUUCUGAAGUAACGAUUUGCUUGAUUAAUUACAGGUGCGCAAGUAUUUUUGAAAGAUUGAUUGAAGGUCGGGUUUACCAUCUAUUGAGAAUCAAGAAGGAGAAUAUUUCGGUCACUCUUGGAAAAUUGUGUAAUUGUAUUGAAUUGAUGAAAUUAUUUAAGAGUAGGAGGAGGAAAUAAAGAAAUCAUAAUCCUCAUCUUUUCAUCGAUUGAGCUAUGACCAAUUUAGAGGACUAAAUUUUCUUUUAAGGGGGGGAGAGUGUAAUAUCCCCACUUUUAAAAAUGUAUUAAUAAGGAUUUAUAUGUAAAUUGGGGGACCUAUAUGUAAAUAUAGAAAUUACAAGGACUAAACUGCUAAGUUGCAAAAAGAAAAAAAAAAAGAAAAGGAAAAACCGAAAAUUCGGUAUUAUCCCACCGCCUCCCACGCACUCUGUUUCUUUCCAGAAACAGAGAGAGCGGUGGGGCGUGAGGAGAAGAAGGAGAGUGGUUGAAGAAAAGAAGAAGAAGAGGGAAAAGAAGAGAGGAGGAAGAAGAGAGGAAGAAGAGAGGAAGAAGAAGAAGAGGAGGUGGCUGCAGCGAGGGCUGCAGCGAGAAGCUGUGGGGCGUGGGGAGAAGAAGAGAGGACGAAGAGGGAGAAGAGAAGAAGAAGAAGAAGAAGCAGAAGAAGAAGAAGAAGAAGAAGAAGAAGAGAGGAUGAUAGCUGCGGCAAGGCUGCAGCGAGGAGGUGUGUGGGGUUGGGGAGGAAAAGGGAAGAGGAGAAGAAAAGAAGGAGAAGAAGAGGGAAAAGAGAGGGAAGAGGGAGAGGAGCGAGAGGUGGCAGCAGCUAGGGCUGCAGCACCUCUGUUUCCUGCAGGUGGAAACAGAGGAGAGGUGGGGCGUUCGAAGAGGAGAAGAAGAAGAAGAAGGAAGAGAAGAGGAAGAGGAAGCAGGAGAAGAGGUUGUGAUACCUCUGUUUCCUGCAGAGGAAACAGAGGAGAGGGUGUGUGUGACGUCGGGGAGAAGAAGGGGCGGAAGAAGAAGAAGAGAAGAAGAAGAGAGGAAGGAGAGGAAGAACAGAAGGGAAAGGAGGAGCUACGGCUGCGGCGGUGGCAGCUGCAGCUGGAAGAGAAGGAGAGGAAGAGAUGGUGAGGAAGAAGAGAAGAAGUAGAAGCGGGUGAAGAGGCGGCACCUCUGUUUCCUGCAGGAGGAAACAGAGGAAAGGAGGUGCUGUUCGUCGGGGAGAAGAAGGGGGCUGCAGCUGCGGCGAUGGCAGCUGCAGCUGGAAGAGAAGAAGAAGAGGAAGAUGAGCAGGGGAGGAGGGAGAGGUUGCGGCCGUGGCUGCGGCCGCGACUGCAGCAGUUGCAGCGGGGAGAGAAGAAGAAGAAAGGAAGGAGAAGGAAGAGGAGAAGGGAAAGAAGUAGCUGCGGCUGCGGUUGUGGCAGCUGCAGCUGUGGCAGGGAAAGAGGAAGAGAAAAAGGAAAGGAAGAAGAAGAGAAAUGGAAGGAGAGGAAGAAGAGAGGAAGAGGAGAAGGGGCUGCGGCUGCGGCGAUGGCAGCUGCAGCUGUGGCUGGGAAAGAAGAGAAGGAAAGGAAGAAGAAGAGAAAGGGAAGGAGAGGAAGAAGAGAGGAAGAGGAGAAGGGGUGGCAGCUGCGGUAGUGGCAGCUGCAGUUGGAAGAGGAGGAGGAAAUAGAGCAGGGGAGGAAGAAGAGGCUGCGAGUGUGGUGGCUGCGGCCGUGGCUGCGACUCCGGCUGCGGCUGCGACGUUGGCUGCGGUAGCUGCGGCAGCGGUGGUGGCUGCAGUAGCUGCAGUAGCUGCUUUUGGGAAAGAGAAAGAGUAGGAACGAGAGAAGGGAAGAAGGAAAUAGUGCAGUGGAAGGGGGCUGCGGUUGUGACCGCAGUUGCGAUUGUGGCAGCGGCAGCGGCGGCGGCUGUGGCAGCUGCAUUUGGGAAAGAAAAAGAAAGAAUGAGAGUAAGAGAGAGAGCAGGUGACUGUGCCUCGAUGUUCGACACGUGAUGUAGUUACGAAGAAAGGAAGAAAACGGGAGCACAAAACGAAACAGAGAGAGGACACGGAGGAAAAGUAGAAAGAUUGGACUAGCACCUUCCUUGGAUAUUCAGAUCAAAAUAUUUGAAAGGUCAGCUUGUCACUCUUCGAGAUGUUUGAUUUGGGCUGAGGCAGUGGAUAGCUAUUCAGAAUUAUGGGCAAGUCCUGUUGGUUGUUAUGCUAUUGUUGUAUAAGCAUAUUUUGUAUGUAAUGAAUUAUUCUGAUGAUCGAAAUGGAUAUACUGUGUAAAAGUGUUAGAAGAUCUCUCUUAUUUGGAAUUUCGGAAUGUUAAGUCUAAUUUAUGACGAUAUAAACUUGUGGUGAAUAGUUGGAGUUCUGAUUGUAUAAUUUAUUUAGCUUGUGGAUUUAUAAAUGUUGUUCAUGUUUGUCAA
Musa acuminata AAA Group (dessert banana) is the source of this 6006-nucleotide long non-coding RNA. RefSeq lists it as uncharacterized. NCBI's taxonomy places the organism in Eukaryota, Viridiplantae, Streptophyta, Magnoliopsida, Zingiberales, Musaceae. The record is from RefSeq and is a predicted model, not a curated record. The transcript has 3 exons.